Long non-coding RNA from Corapipo altera (White-ruffed manakin), 1107 nucleotides. RefSeq lists it as uncharacterized. Lineage: Eukaryota; Metazoa; Chordata; Aves; Passeriformes; Pipridae. The transcript is spliced from 4 exons. The record is from RefSeq and is a predicted model, not a curated record.
ACUUUUAUUUGCCAAAGUUAACAAACAGCAGCAUCAGAACCUAUCUCUGAACAGUUUGAGACUUUAGCCUCUCCAUUCCGUCUGUUGGAUGGCAUGGAUCCACUCCACUGCCUUCUGAGCCAAAGCCUGCAGCCUUUCUACUGGGUUUAUUUAGUGAUGCCUUUUAUUUCAAGGAGAAGUAUGAACUGAGUAAAAGUUGAGGGAGAACUGAUGGAUUCACCCCAGAGACAGUAGAAGGAUGUUCUUCACUUCUCAUACUUCUUUAAGAGUGACGGGACAGGCUGCCCUGUGUGGAUCCUGUUUGCAGAGGAACACAACCUCCAGAAAAUGGAGGUGCAUUUCUGAGGGGCAAAUCAGGGGAAAUCCACUGCCAGUGACUCUACAGACUAAAAGGCAAGUUAGCUGUGCAGAUACCAGGGUAUCAAAGGGCCUGUAGGACAUGAGGCAUUGGUGGAAAUUGGAAUGAAGUGUUUUGUUUGUCAUCUCUAUGGACACGAGGCCACAAAGCACCAGGAAGAGAAGCUGACCAUGGAAUCUCUGGAGCUGGAAAUGCCACAGACUCAGUGCCUUGUUUCUGUAGCUGCCACGAGUUACACUGCUCAAAGACCUUUCCCUUAUGUCCCUGGCUAAUUUUUCCUGGUUAAAAACGAUUGAAGGAUUGUACUCAUUGACUGUUACACAUCAGAGACUGAUCUGUGGCUGCAUUAACUGACUGUGUUCCCAUAGAUCUUUGUAUUCCUGCACAUUCUGAGAGCUGCUACUCCAAAGUGAAGCCAACUUUUCCUUAUCAUCCCUAUUUUUAAAGCAUGGGCUCAUUGAUCUGGCAGAUUUCAUUUCAGUGCUCUGAGGUUUAGAGAGGCUGUUUCUAAUACAAAGCCUUAUUGCCACCCCCCUGCUAUACAUGUUUCACUUGAACUUUUCAUAAGUACUGCAGAACUUGAGGGAAGUAAGCAAAGCGUAGGUGGUGCUGAAGUCCAAUACUUUGGUCAUGAUCCGUUUCUGCAGACAAGCUGCUUCAUUCCCGUCUAUAGAGGGAAUCUAUUUCCACCUAUAAUCUCCUAUUGAAAGCAAUUAUUUGAUAUCACAAACUUUUUAAACACAUCUGAA